ACGCUCGCUUUGGCAACACAUGCACUAACACUGGAACGAUACAGCGAAGAUUGGCAUGGCCCUUGUACAGGCUGACACGCAAAUUCAUGACGCGUUCCAUAUUGAA
Molecule: small nuclear RNA, 106 nt
Organism: Ursus americanus (American black bear)
Lineage: Eukaryota; Metazoa; Chordata; Mammalia; Carnivora; Ursidae
Source: Ensembl